AAUCAACGCUGGCGGCGUGCCUCAGACAUGCAAGUCGAACGAUUAAAGCUCUCUUCGGAGAGUGCAUAGAGUGGCGCACGGGUGAGUAACACGUAAGUAAUCUACCUUCGAGUGGGGAAUAACGUCCGGAAACGGACGCUAAUACCGCAUAAUGCAGCGGCAUCGCAAGAUGACAGUUGUUAAAGGAGCAAUUCGCUUGAAGAGGAGCUUGCGGCAGAUUAGCUAGUUGGUAAGGUAAUGGCUUACCAAGGCUACGAUCUGUAACCGGUCUAAGAGGACGGUCGGUCACACUGACACUGAAUAACGGGUCAGACUCCUACGGGAGGCAGCAGUCGGGAAUUUUGGGCAAUGGGCGAAAGCCUGACCCAGCAACGCCGCGUGAAGGAUGAAGUAUUUCGGUAUGUAAACUU
RNAcentral lists this ribosomal RNA (410 nucleotides) under uncultured bacterium. Its description in RNAcentral is "bacterial SSU rRNA". It matches the Rfam family "Bacterial small subunit ribosomal RNA", at positions 32 to 432 of the family's 1533-position model. The record is from RNAcentral.